GUAGGUUACAUUUUCUUGUAAAACUUCAGCAAAAUAUUUAUACAAAUUCAGAGUCCCUAUCUUGUUCAACGAGCACCGUACAGAUAAUAAAUGUGAAAAAGGUACAGUAAAUCUAUCCUGUGGUUGGCGCAAUCUAAGCCACUCAAAUCUCCAAUUCCUCGUUGGCCAGAACCCAGAAAAAACGAGAGCUCAUCCUUGAUCCUUCCUGUUCCUGCAGGGCUAGCUUGUGCAAGCAAGUCAGUCCCAUGUACACAAAAAUAGUAAAACCCAGUUCUUGAUUUAAAAGCAAUCAAUUCCUGAAACAGCAAAGAAUACAAGAAAAUGACAAAAGUACAUAAAUUUAUCAGAUUAAAAAUCCAAAACAACACAAGCAACAUAUGAGCAAAGCAAGGACGAGUAGUACAGGUGAAAGAUUUAGAUGUAGAGCUCCCUUCAAUCC
This 439-nucleotide unclassified non-coding RNA is filed under the name Hevea brasiliensis (rubber tree). The record is from RNAcentral. Lineage: Eukaryota; Viridiplantae; Streptophyta; Magnoliopsida; Malpighiales; Euphorbiaceae.